UAUAGAUGGAUCCGCGCUGCAUUAGCUAGUUGGUAAGGUAACGGCUUACCAAGGCAACGAUGCAUAGCCGACCUGAGAGGGUGAUCGGCCACACUGGAACUGAGACACGGUCCAGACUCCUACGGGAGGCAGCAGUAGGGAAUCUUCCGCAAUGGGCGAAAGCCUGACGGAGCAACGCCGCGUGAGUGAUGAAGGUCUUCGGAUCGUAAAACUCUGUUAUUAGGGAAGAACAUAUGUGUAAGUAACUGUGCACAUCUUGAC
RNAcentral lists this ribosomal RNA (261 nucleotides) under Staphylococcus aureus. RNAcentral's name for it is "partial 16S ribosomal RNA". It matches the Rfam family "Bacterial small subunit ribosomal RNA", at positions 220 to 473 of the family's 1533-position model. Lineage: Bacteria; Bacillati; Bacillota; Bacilli; Caryophanales; Staphylococcaceae. The record is from RNAcentral.